Non-coding RNA from Caerostris extrusa, 99 nucleotides. The record is from the annotation of a GenBank genome assembly. NCBI's taxonomy places the organism in Eukaryota, Metazoa, Arthropoda, Arachnida, Araneae, Araneidae.
AGCCUGAUGGCCGAGUGGCUAGAACUCUGGUGCUUGGUACCACAGGUUUCGGGUUCGAAACCCGAAUGUUUGUAGUGGUUCGGAAUCCACUUCAAGCCG